Molecule: unclassified non-coding RNA, 400 nt
Filed under: uncultured Gemmatimonadaceae bacterium
Lineage: Bacteria; Pseudomonadati; Gemmatimonadota; Gemmatimonadia; Gemmatimonadales; Gemmatimonadaceae
Description: contains 16S-23S intergenic spacer region
Source: RNAcentral
UCCGGUUUGGCACCGGCAGUCCCCCCAGAGUCCCCGGCUCGAGGCCUUUUGAGGGGCCUCUCUCCGCUGGCAACUGGGGGCGGGGGUUGCGCUCGUUGCGGGACUUAACCCAACAUCUCACGACACGAGCUGACGACAGCCAUGCAGCACCUGUCCUCGGGUCCCGAAGGAGGGCCCUGGUUUCUCAGGGCUUCCCCGAGGAUGUCAAGCCCGGGUAAGGUUCUUCGCGUUGCGUCGAAUUAAACCACAUGCUCCACCGCUUGUGCGGGCCCCCGUCAAUUCCUUUGAGUUUCAGCCUUGCGGCCGUACUCCCCAGGCGGGGCACUUAAUGCGUUAGCGCCGGCACCCGGGGGGUCGCUCCCCCAAGCACCUAGUGCCCAUCGUUUACGGCGUGGACUAC